GCGCGGGGCGCACGCGUGAAGUUGCACCGCACGUGUAAGAGAAGAUUCUCCUUUUCAGAGCGGCCGGGAGCCCUGCUCGAGAGGGAGCGCACCCGGGUCGCCGCCGCGGCACAGCGGGGACUCCUGAUUUCCAUGCCUUUCCCAAACCUGUACCUCCUCUGCUCUCCCCAUCCUUCCUCCUGUUCGGGGUGGAAACCUUGGCCUCUCCUCGGCACUACCCGAUCCUUGACCCAUCAGCACAUCACGCUGGACUGACCUUCAGAGUCUGUGCAAACUCAGCCAUUUGUCACCACUGUCACGUUUCUGGAUCAUAGCACAGCCUCCUCACUGGACCCUCCAUGAUCACCCUCACCCCCUCCGCCCCACAGCCGUUCUCGGCACAGCAACCACAAGGGUCCUGUGAAGAUGGAAGCCGGAUUACGUCACUCUUCUGCUCAAACCCUCCAGUGCCCUCUCGUCUCACUUGGAGCAUAAGCCAAAGUUCUCAUCACUGUCUGCCUCGAUCUGUCCACCUCCAGACUUCCUCCCUGACCUGUGUCUACCUGUCUGCUCCUCUGGACUCGUCCUCUGCCUGGACUCGUCCCUCAUAUCUGAGGCCCAGUUCUUCACUGUGAUGUCACCCUCACAGCACAGCCCCUGAACUGCCCUCUGUGCUUCCCCCUGCCCCGCCGCAGCUCCCCGUCUACCCACAGCACGCAGCACCUGACCUCUCUUCUCUUCUGUCCCACAUCUUUCCCGCCACAGCCUACGUGGCACCAGGCAGUGAUGACCGCCUGCUCGACCCCGCCGAGAAGAGCCUUGUCAUCACCGCGGAGGAUGCUCGUCCUGCGUCUGCCCUCACAGCACCCCCUCCCGUCCUUUUGCCCCGUCCUGCUGCUGGGCAGCCUGACCCUCCCCCCCUCCUCCUGUCCCUGUGACUCCGCCUCUCUGAUGCCAAGCACCCACAGCCUUCCCUAUCUUGAAAACACCUCCACUGGGCCUUGUUACCCAUCUCGUGUCGCCCUUCCUUUAGGUUCUAGACCUACCGAACAGGACUCUCUGUGUCAUGCCUCCAUUUCCCUCCCACACUCUGCCUCUUCAGCUCCCAGUCUAGGCUUUUGUUUCUGCCCCAACGCUCCCACUAGACUGGGCACUUAAAGACCAUCAGUGGCCUUCUUAUUGUGAGAUCAAAGCCUUUGCUUUAUGCCCAUCCUUCUCGAACACACAAAGAAUGCUGACACCGGUCGUCACCUCCUUCUUCAAAGUCCUCCUUCGGCCUCCUCGCUUCCGUGUCACCCUCGUUCUCCGGUCGUGUUGACAGCGGUCAGAGAAUGUGCCUUCGGAGACACGAACGGCGCUCCAGCAGUGACGUGGGCCGUGCUCGUACUGACGCCCAGCGUGAUCUUGCAUCUCAGAAGCUCAGACAGGGCUCUGCGUUGGGGUCAAUUCGGUAAAGAAGGAAGGGUCUUCUGACAUUACUUUGAAAGCAAAGGCAACUACAAGCCAGACAAGGUGAACGUGUCUGGCAGAGCUGAUCGGGCCCCCGCUGGGGAAGGCCCCUUCCCUCCACACUGUCCGGGCAUCGCCGCUCUCCGUCACUGCUCAGUCUCAGGCUCUCACCCAGUUGGCCAGUCCCGCCAUCCUUCGUCGAACACGGACCGCACACGCCGAGGGCGAACCUGUGGCCCAGAGUUGAGCACAAGACGGUCACUGAAUAGAUAGCCACUGAUGGAUCCCAAGGGACACUUAACACUUCCUGAAGGCCGAGGGGAGCCUGUGUACCUCUGAAAGGGAAAGUAGAAUGGUCAGAAGAACGGGGAAGCAGCCACGUAUACACUCAGCAGCAUCAGCUCUUGUUCUGUGUUGGUGUCAGAACCAAAGUUCCCCUUGAGAUAAAAGCAAAAAUCGAUUAAACACCACUUCGUGCAGGUAACUGACGUCCAGGGACUCGAGGACCCCGCUGCCGCUAUGGGAGAGCAGUCGCCUAGAGUGCACCACACUCUGCGGUGAGCUCACGGGCACCUCGCGGAGUUAAGCGCUCGGCCCUGGGAGCUGUCGGGAGCUGCUCUGCUUGCGUCCUGAAGUGGCCCAACGCCGACAAUGAGAAUAAACCUGUUUUCUGCUCAAGCAGGAAGCUAUUUCACUCGCUCACUCGUGUUCGUGUCACUGGCUGGCAAUGCUCAGUGGAUCGUGAGGCUUCCUCUGGUCCGUUGCUGGUCCUUACUUAGCAGCAGAGGCUUGCUGUUCAGACUGCGCUUCUUCACUCCUCUGCCGUCGUCUUCUUACUGAACUGGUAUGAGGGGUAGGAUCCAAAAGUGGUGUUGAUAAAACACCUUAAGAACGUCUGCGUGGCAUCUGGAGCGGACUGGGGCGACUCUGAAGAGAGGGGAUGUCACUUCUACCAUGGAGUCUCCCGUCUUGAUCUGACCUUGACCCAUACUGCAGGCCUUGUCAUAGAUACUCUUCUGGUUAAUGUUUUUAUUCACUCGUGCAUGUAUUUUCCGGAAGAAAACCCAAACUGUGAAGCGUGGUAGUGAUAAGACUCGGCAGCGAACAUCAGGAUACAAAGAGGCCGGCCCUUGCGUUGGGGGAACUCGGCAGACUGCCGUGGCGGGAGAAUCCAGUUUAAGCUGUGUGUCAUCAGUGACAGCCAUUGUCAGGAUCUGUGAUGCAUCUCAGAGACCCCAGGGUCAGUCUCCAAUCUGACAUUGGGCUAUGUCCCAUGUAUCAAUUUGUCUUUUGAGCGCUUACCAGGGACAUGAUUAAAGAGGUCGAAGGAGUAGACACCUUAAUGAAAAAACAAUGAACAAAGAAUCAGGUUUUUUCAAAAACUACAACUUUGAAACAUGAGUCACGGUCAUUAAUCCUUUAUGACCAUAAAUGUAAUAAGUUGUUACAGAAAAUGCAAAGCAAUGGGAAAAGAGAAUAAAAAUCACCCAGUUCUA
Prionailurus viverrinus (fishing cat) is the source of this 2924-nucleotide RNA transcript. It is a transcript of the gene named gap junction protein alpha 3, with no coding region annotated. Lineage: Eukaryota; Metazoa; Chordata; Mammalia; Carnivora; Felidae. The record is from RefSeq and is a predicted model, not a curated record. The transcript is spliced from 3 exons.